Molecule: ribosomal RNA, 1398 nt
Filed under: uncultured bacterium
Lineage: Bacteria
Description: bacterial SSU rRNA
Rfam family: Bacterial small subunit ribosomal RNA
Source: RNAcentral
AGAGUUUGAUCCUGGCUCAGGAUGAACGCUAGCUACAGGCUUAACACAUGCAAGUCGGGGGGCAGCACGGGAAGCAGCAAUGCUUUUGGGUGGCGACCGGCGAAUGGGUGAGUAACGAGUAUCCAACCUGCCCCGUGCUCCGGGACAGCCCCGCGAAAGCGGGAUUAAUACCGGAUGGUGCGUAUGUCCCGCAUGGGAUAUACGUCAAAGAUUUAUCGCUGUGGGAUGGGGAUGCGUCUGAUUAGCUUGUCGGCGGGGUAACGGCCCACCGAGGCGACGAUCAGUAGGGGUUCUGAGAGGAAGGUCCCCCACAUUGGUACUGAGACACGGACCAAACUCCUACGGGAGGCAGCAGUGAGGAAUAUUGGUCAAUGGCCGGAAGGCUGAACCAGCCAAGUAGCGUGCAGGACGACGGCCCUACGGGUUGUAAACUGCUUUUAUAGGGGAAUAAAGUGUGGUACGUGUACCGUUUUGUAUGUACCCUAUGAAUAAGGACCGGCUAAUUCCGUGCCAGCAGCCGCGGUAAUACGGAAGGUCCGGGCGUUAUCCGGAUUUAUUGGGUUUAAAGGGAGCGCAGGCGGGACCUUAAGCGUGUUGUGAAAUGUACCGGCUCAACCGGUGAUGUGCAGCGCGAACUGGGGUUCUUGAGUGGGUACGACGUCGGCGGAAUUCGUGGUGUAGCGGUGAAAUGCUUAGAUAUCACGAGGAACCCCGAUUGCGAAGGCAGCCGACGAGUCCCUUACUGACGCUAAUGCUCGAAAGUGCGGGUAUCGAACAGGAUUAGAUACCCUGGUAGUCCGCACGGUAAACGAUGGAUGCCCGCUGUUGGCGAUACAAUGUCAGCGGCCAAGCGAAAGCGUUAAGCAUCCCACCUGGGGAGUACGCCGGCAACGGUGAAACUCAAAGGAAUUGACGGGGGCCCGCACAAGCGGUGGAGCAUGUGGUUUAAUUCGAUGAUACGCGAGGAACCUUACCCGGGCUUGAACUCAUGGGGAACGACAGGGAGACCUGAAGGCCCGCAAGGGCUCCAUGAGAGGUGCUGCAUGGUUGUCGUCAGCUCGUGCCGUGAGGUGUCGGGUCAAGUCCCAUAACGAGCGCAACCCCUGCGUCCAGUUGCCAGCAAUCCGGUUGGGCACUCUGGACGGACUGCCCGCGCAAGCGGAGAGGAAGGCGGGGAUGACGUCAAAUCAGCACGGCCCUUACGUCCGGGGCGACACACGUGCUACAAUGGGCGGCACAGAGGGAAGCCACCUGGUGACAGGGAGCGGAUCCCGAAAGCCGUUCACAGUCCGGAUCGGGGGCUGCAACCCGCCCCCGUGAAGCUGGAAUCGCUAGUAAUCGCGAAUCAGAACGUCGCGGUGAAUGCGUUCCCGGGUCUUGCACACACCGCCCGUCAAG